UUAAAGUUUUAUUCUUGCUUAUUAAUUUAUUAUAACAAUAUUGUAUAUGUAUGUUUUUGCGUUUAAUAUACACUAUUUAUUCUUAAUGUAUAAAUAGUCUUGAAAAUUUGUCGCAGUAUAAAAUGUUAUAAAUUUAAGUAAUUAUGAUUUAGUAAUUGUUAUUAAAUAUUGAUUAACCAUGUGCCAGCAAUCGCGGUUAUACAUGAAAUGUAAGUAAAUUAUUUCAGUUAAAAUAGUUAAUUGUUUUGAUUUAUGAAUUUAUAUUGAUUAUUAUUGGGUGAAAUAUUUAAUUUUUGUUUAUGAUUUGAAUUGAAUUAAAUGAAGCUAUGAAAUCUAAAAUAUUUAAACUAGGAUUAGAUACCCUAUUAUUUUAGAUGUAAAAUAUUUAAACUUGAGUAGUAGUAGAAUAAGGUCUUGAAACUUAAAGAAUUUGGCGGUAUUUUAGUCUAUUUAGAGGAAUCUGUCCCGUAAUCGAUAAUCCGCGUUGGACCUUACUUAAAUUAAGUGAAUAUGUAUACCGCUGUUGUUGAAAAUCUUUUUAGAGUUAAUUUUUUUAAUAUUUGUUAAAUAAUUUUUCAGGUCAAGGUGCAGUUUAUGUUUAAGUGGAGAUGGAUUACAAUAUUUAUUGAAUAUACGGAUUAUUGUUUGAAAUUAAUGAUAUAAAGGUGGAUUUAAUAGUAAUAUUAUGAAGAUUGUUAAUAUGAUUAUAGCUCUAAAAUAUGUACACAUCGCCCGUCGCUCUCGUUAUAUUUAAGGUGAGAUAAGUCGUAACAUAGUAGUUGUACCGGAAGGUGUAACUAGAAUGAUA
RNAcentral lists this non-coding RNA (808 nucleotides) under Episymploce sp. The record is from RNAcentral. Lineage: Eukaryota; Metazoa; Arthropoda; Insecta; Blattodea; Blattellidae.